Mytilus californianus (California mussel) is the source of this 765-nucleotide long non-coding RNA. RefSeq lists it as uncharacterized. Lineage: Eukaryota; Metazoa; Mollusca; Bivalvia; Mytilida; Mytilidae. The record is from RefSeq and is a predicted model, not a curated record. The transcript has 3 exons.
GGUUUACUUUGACUAUUGGUGUUUCAAAGGGAGGAUAAAAGAAUGUCCAAUGCCAUCUAAGGUUAACUUUGCCUUAGGAUGUUUUAAAGGGAGGUUAAAAGAAUAUAAAACAGUAUCUAAGGUUAACUUUGACUAAUGGUGUUUCAUAGGGAGGUUAAAAGAAUAUCAAACACCAUCUAAGGUUUACUUUGACUAUUGGUGUUUCAAAGGGAGGAUAAAAGAAUGUCCAAUGCCAUCUAAGGUUAACUUUGCCUUAGGAUGUUUUAAAGGGAGGUUUAAAGAAUAUAAAACAGCAUCUAAGGUUAACUUUGACUAAUGGUGUUUCAUAGGGAGGUUAAAAGAAUUUCAAACACCAUCUAAGGUUUACUUUGACUAUUGGUGUUUCAAAGGGAGGAUAAAAGAAUGUCCAACGCCAUCUAAGGUUUACUUUGCCUUAGGAUGUUUUAAAGGGAGGUUAAAAGAAUAUAAAACAGCAUCUAAGGUUAACUUUGACUAAUGGUGUUUCAUAGGGAGGUUAAAAGAAUAUCAAACACCAUCUUAGGUUAACUUUGACUUAUGGUGUUUCAUAGGGAGGUUAAAAGAAUAUCAAACACCAUCUUAGGUUAACUUUGACUUAUGGUGUUUCAUAGGGAGGUUAAAAGAAUAUCAAACACCAUCUUAGGUUAACUUUGACUUAUGGUGUUUCAUAGGGAGGUUAAAAGAAUAUCAAACACCAUCUUAGGUUAACUUUGACUAAUGGUGUUUCAUAGGGAGGUUAAAAGAAUA